UGAGGUGACAUCUCAUUGUGGUUUUAAUUUGCAUUUCUCUGAUGAUUAGUGAUGUGAACAUAUGUUUUUUAAAAUCCAAGAUUCUUUUCUUAGUAAAGCCAUACUCAAUCUAUUGAAUCCAUCAGCCUCUGACAUUCCACCUCAUUGUUCCUUCCUGACAUCUGAAAUGGAAAGGAGACAGGCUAUUAAACCGGUUUUAACAAAUUCAGAGCAGCCAGGUUCUUGGCUUGGGGAAAAAACAUUCCACUUAUCAAGAGAUGUUACUCCUUCAAAGGAUGAAAACCUAUUUCAUGAAGAGAAUCUGGGGGGAGCUUUUUGUUCUGCGGGGACAACAUCUGGAUUUUAAUAUGUCCAUCUUCAAAAGGAGAUUUCUCAUAAUGGACCAAACUCGAAACACUCAGAGCACAAGGACCAGGGAGUUUUCAAAAGGAGACACUUCCCGAGAAGCCCGAGGGCCCUUAUGUCCCCGCAGCCCGCGCGGAGGUCGGUGAGGUCUCCCGCGCCUUUAGCUUCUAAGUUUCAUGCUGAAAGUCACAGCCACCGUCUUCCGCCUCCCCACCCCACUCCGGGAAUUUGGGACCUGAAUUCAUUUGAAAACAUUUGUGGUUUCAGGAGGCUCUUUAUGAUACAGCUGCCAAGGAGAUCUCGCCAUGAAAGACCAGUUCGGAGAUGAGGAGCAAGGCAGCUAGGCCCAGGCCGUGGGCUUGUAAAGGGUACGCGAGCCCGGUGCCCCGCCCACCGUGCCGGCGGGCAUGGGCCUCGAGGCGGAUGCCCCCGGACCCGGGUUCGAAUCCCCUGGCCUGGCGGUACAGACCAUGGGGAGUUGUGUAACGUCCUGGCCCCGAGACGCCCUUUCCAGGAGCCCAGGCAUGGAACGAAGUCCUUAGAAGCUCUGACAUCAGAGGUGACGCGUCUUCGCAGGCAAUGACUAGGCAGAACGCGAUGCCACUCCCUUUCCCGUGUCCGGGCUGGCGCGGGGCGUGUCGCCUCCGACCACGGGGUCCUGGCGCCUCCGACAGCUCUCCCGAGUGCCCGGCGCCCCCGCGCUUCCCGGCCCACCAGACCCUCGCUCCUCGGCGGCACGGCCCCGUCGCAGAUGACGCUCCCGUGGGCUGGCCUGUGGCUCCCCCUUGUGGUGACCGCCGCGAGGCCUGGUCACCGGGAGGCCUUGGCACAGCUCUCCACACGGGAAGUCCUUUCUGGGUCCGACCUCGACCCCUCCUGGGGCUGCGGGAAGCACGACGGGGCAGCUGAGGGCAGCCGCCUCUCCCCUCCACUUUAGAAAAUCGCGUCACACGGAGGCCAAGCAGUCUUUUUCUAGGCUGGCUGCACUGUCUUGAGGCCAAAUGGAAGGGACGACCUUGAGUGGGCCUGUGGAGGAUUUCUAUGCCAAAGGGCCUUUAGGGAGUAAGACUGAGGACUGUCUUGAGGGCAGGGUGCAUGAGGAGGGCUUCCACCUAGGCGCUGGAAGGGUAGAGGGACCCCCAAAGGAAGGAUGUAGGUUAGGGCUUUGGAGGAAAAAUUGAGGGGCAGGGGCCUCUGCCUGAGGGAGGGUUUUGGUGCGACCCCCGACUCACCGACCUGGUGGGCUUCUUCCUCCACCUCCUCCCGGGACAGAUUUCAUCGGUGUUUCAGCGGCGUUGGUGAAGGGCCUUCAGUCAGCCAUUAAUCUUAAGAGCAGAGAAAGCAAGAGGGAUUCGAGUUAAACACCGGGCAGAACUUCCCAACCAUGAGGGAUUUGGGACCUCAGAAAGGGGAUCAGAGGCGGCAUUCUCCCAUCCAGGAGAGACCCCAGUUGAAGCAGGGUCUGGACAAAGGGUGAGCUGGCCCCUGGCUCUGCCCUGACGGGCUGGUGACCAGGGUGCAGUCCUUGGGGCCCCAGGGUGGCAAGGCUUCUGUGAAGUUCCUGGUGGGAUGGCCCUGGGCAGGUGGUGAUGGACAGAGGGAGAAAUCGAGGUCACUGCCGCCCCCACCCUGCCCGCUCGGCAACCUCAUUUUCCUUAACUGCUCAUCUUGCCUCCUCUCUGGACAGUUCUGAUCCCUCAUGAGAGAUCAUGCUACCCCCGUACAUGCUCCUAUCAAACACGUUUCACCGUAGGCCCCAUGUCCAGCUCUGAGCUCCAUCCCAGCUUUCUCCCCAGCACCUAGCAUGCUGCCUGGCACAGCAGCGCUGCUCUGCGAAUAUUUGGUCACUUCCAGGAACAGACCCUGGGAAUUCUGCUUUGGUGGCUGGAGCAAAUGUCACUGACCUCCUAAUGGUUUGCAUCAGACUGUGAGCAACUCUGCACAGUUUACAAGACACUUUACAUCCAUUUGCUGGCCUCAGACCCCCAGACCUGAUGCAGAACAGAGGCUGUUCACUGUGCCCAGCCCUCCACAGAGCUUGUGUUAUUGGACCUUUAGGACAACAUGUGGUUGAUCCAGUUCCCAUUUUAUUAAUGGGAGACUGAAGUCUGGAAGAUCCUUGCCCAAGAGCACACAGCUGGAAUCCCUUUGAUUGAUGCAGUUGAAGUGGUGUUCAUCAUACUGCCAGGCCCCGUCCUAGAAGAAAAGAGGAAGCCGACCACCUCUGUUGUUUCUUCUUGCCACAUGGUGUUGCUGUUGAAGUCUAGUCCCGCACAGUCUGAUGGACACUUUUUUGCCCUUUGCAGCACUGACAGCUCUGUUCAGGUCUCUCCAUGGGUGUCAGUACACCUUCUAGAGGAAACACUGUGCCUUGGCUAAGAUUACAGUUCCUCAAUUAAAUUAGACAGAUAUUUACUAAGUGCCUACUAUAUGCCAGACAUUGAUGUAGGCCUGGAAAAAUAUCAGAUCAAAAUAGGCAAUGCUCCCUUGCCUUUCUGGGCCUAGACAACAAUGUCCACAAAUAAUUACAAAGCAUGCUAAAAGGUGUUAAGCCCAAUGGGGGAAUG
Molecule: non-coding RNA, 2912 nt
Organism: Manis javanica (Malayan pangolin)
Lineage: Eukaryota; Metazoa; Chordata; Mammalia; Pholidota; Manidae
Source: RefSeq, a predicted model, not a curated record